GGAGGGUGCGAGCGUUGUCCGGAAUCACUGGGCGUAAAGGGCGCGUAGGCGGCCCAGUAAGUAGGGGGUGAAAUCUCACGGCUCAACCGUGAAACGGCCUCCUAAACUGCUGAGCUUGAGCACGGUAGAGGCAGAUGGAAUUCCCGGUGUAGCGGUGGAAUGCGUAGAUAUCGGGAAGAACACCAGUGGCGAAGGCGGUCUGCUGGGCCGUUGCUGACGCUGAGGCGCGACAGCGUGGGGAGCAAACAGGAUUAGAUACCCUGGUAGUCCACGCCGUAAACGAUGGGUACUAGGCGUCGGGGGGGAGCGACCCCCUUCGGUGCCCGUCGCUAACGCAGUAAGUACCCCGCCUGGGGAGUACGGCCGCAAGGCUG
Molecule: ribosomal RNA, 374 nt
Filed under: uncultured organism
Description: partial 16S ribosomal RNA
Rfam family: Bacterial small subunit ribosomal RNA
Source: RNAcentral